Molecule: long non-coding RNA, 488 nt
Filed under: Phoenix dactylifera (date palm)
Lineage: Eukaryota; Viridiplantae; Streptophyta; Magnoliopsida; Arecales; Arecaceae
Description: long non-coding RNA (PDAC_LNC007096)
Source: RNAcentral
GGGGAAAGAACCAUUAUGGAAAAUCUUCAUGGGAGAACCAUUGUGGGGAAACUAGAUACGUAUUGGAUCGGCUGUCAUGAUGGUGCCUAAGUGGGACAUCUGUCACAGGCUUUACCGUUGGCAUUUUUGAAAGUGCUGCAUCAUGGUGGAAGGCCCCUCGAUUUUAAUUGGAUAUCUGUUUCUUUCUGCCUUUUUCCGAUCCCUCCAUUAAUUCGAAAGCAUCAGCUAAGCAAGACUUGAAAUCAACGGCAACUUUUGCACUCACAAGAAGGCUUUCACUAAAGCCUGCGUUUAUCAAGAGGUUGAACCCCACCAAAGCGAAAGGCUGGUAAAAAGAGAGAGCCAAGUCAAAGGGAAGGGACCUCUUAACAUUGAAAGAUUGAAGCCAAGUUUUUUUUUUCUCUAAUAUGAUGACAAGGGAGACCAGCAAAAGUGCCACCCAGAUUUUAUUUAGGAAAGGAAAGAUCUAAGCUGAGAAUUGGCAUCAU